RNAcentral lists this ribosomal RNA (732 nucleotides) under Racodium rupestre. RNAcentral describes it as "LSU rRNA". It matches the Rfam family "Eukaryotic large subunit ribosomal RNA", at positions 103 to 860 of the family's 3401-position model. Lineage: Eukaryota; Fungi; Ascomycota; Dothideomycetes; Racodiales; Racodiaceae. The record is from RNAcentral.
AACAGCUCAAAUUUGAAAUCUGGCGUCUUUGGCGUCCGAGUUGUAAUUUGCAGAGGAUGCUUUUGGGCAGCCGCCGGUCUAAGUUCCUUGGAACAGGACGUCAUAGAGGGUGAGAAUCCCGUAUGUGACCGGCCAGGCACCCUCUACAAAGCUCCUUCGACGAGUCGAGUUGUUUGGGAAUGCAGCUCUAAAUGGGAGGUAAAUUUCUUCUAAAGCUAAAUACCGGCCGGAGACCGAUAGCGCACAAGUAGAGUGAUCGAAAGAUGAAAAGCACUUUGGAAAGAGAGUUAAAAAGCACGUGAAAUUGUUGAAAGGGAAGCGCUUGCAACCAGACUUGCCAACGGUGUUCGGCCGGUCUUUUGACCGGUUUAUUCUCCGCGAGCAGGCCAGCAUCAUUUGGGACCGUCGGAUAAAAGUUUUAGGAACGUGGCUCCCCCUGGAGUGUUAUAGCCUAAUUCACAAUACGGCGUGACUCGAGUGAGGUCCGCGCUUCGGCUAGGAUGCUGGCGUAAUGGUUGUAAGCGGCCCGUCUUGAAACACGGACCAAGGAGUCUAACAUCUAUGCGAGUGUUCGGGCAUUAAACCCCUACGCGUAAUGAAAGUGAACGGAGGUGGGAACCGCAAGGUGCACCAUCGACCGAUCCUGAUGUCUUCGGAUGGAUUUGAGUAAGAGCAUAGCUGUUGGGACCCGAAAGAUGGUGAACUAUGCCUGAAUAGGGGAAGCCAGAGGAA